RNAcentral lists this ribosomal RNA (253 nucleotides) under uncultured bacterium. Its description in RNAcentral is "partial 16S ribosomal RNA". It matches the Rfam family "Bacterial small subunit ribosomal RNA", at positions 524 to 776 of the family's 1533-position model. The record is from RNAcentral.
UACGUAGGGCGCAAGCGUUGUCCGGAAUUAUUGGGCGUAAAGAGCGUGUAGGCGGCCAUACAGGUCAGCUGUGAAAACUCGAGGCUCAACCUCGAGACGUCGGUUGAAACCGUAUGGCUAGAGUCCGGAAGAGGAGAGUGGAAUUCCCGGUGUAGCGGUGAAAUGCGCAGAUAUCGGGAAGAACACCCGUGGCGAAGGCGGCUCUCUGGGACGGUACUGACGCUGAGACGCGAAAGCGUGGGGAGCGAACAGG